GUGCUCGCUUCGGCAGCACGUAGACUAAAAAUAGAACAAUACAGAGAAGAUUAGCAUGGCCCCUGAACAAGGAUGACACGCAAAUUUAUGAAGCAUUCCAUAGUUUU
Molecule: small nuclear RNA, 107 nt
Organism: Rhinolophus ferrumequinum (greater horseshoe bat)
Lineage: Eukaryota; Metazoa; Chordata; Mammalia; Chiroptera; Rhinolophidae
Source: Ensembl